This 466-nucleotide ribosomal RNA is filed under the name uncultured bacterium. RNAcentral describes it as "partial 16S ribosomal RNA". It matches the Rfam family "Bacterial small subunit ribosomal RNA", at positions 28 to 507 of the family's 1533-position model. The record is from RNAcentral.
GAUGAACGCUGGCGGCGUGCUUAACACAUGCAAGUCGAACGAUGAAGCUCAGCUUGCUGGGUGGAUUAGUGGCGAACGGGUGAGUAACACGUGAGUAACCUGCCCUUAACUCUGGGAUAAGCCUGGGAAACUAGGUCUAAUACCGGAUAGGAGCGCCUACCGCAUGGUGGGUGCUGGAAAGAUUUAUCGGUUUUGGAUGGCUUCGCGGCCUAUCCGCUUGUUGGUGGGGUAGUGGUUCACCAAGGCGACGACGGGUAUCCGACCUGAGAGGGUGACCGGCCACACUGGGACUGAGAGACGGCCCAGACUCCUACGGGAGGCAGCAGUGGGGAAUAUUACACAAUGGGCGAGAGCCUGAUGCAGCGACGCCGCGUGAGGGAUGACGGCCUUCGGGUUGUAAACCUCUUUCAGUAGGGAAGAAGCGAAAGUGACGGUACCUGCAGAAGAAGCACCGGCUAACUACGUG